GCGGGAGUGGCGGAACUGGCAGACGCGCUGGAUUUAGGAUCCAGUGGGAAACCGUGCAGGUUCAAGUCCUGUCUCCCGCACCA
Molecule: transfer RNA, 83 nt
Filed under: Bacillota bacterium
Lineage: Bacteria; Bacillati; Bacillota
Description: tRNA-Leu
Rfam family: tRNA
About the family: Transfer RNA (tRNA) molecules are approximately 80 nucleotides in length. Their secondary structure includes four short double-helical elements and three loops (D, anti-codon, and T loops).
Source: RNAcentral